This 401-nucleotide long non-coding RNA is filed under the name Mytilus galloprovincialis (Mediterranean mussel). Lineage: Eukaryota; Metazoa; Mollusca; Bivalvia; Mytilida; Mytilidae. The record is from RNAcentral.
UUCAAAAAUUAAAAAUUAAAAUUCUUCAAAUAUUAUUUUUUUGCACAACAGCAUAGUAUAUUACACAAAAGCAAAGUUUGGAAUAUAAAUUCUAUUCCUAUAAGUAAUUCUUAGUUCUUUGGCUUCAGUUUUUCUUUGUUUGCAACUUAUUACAUGUAUGUGUCAAAUAUUUAAUUUCAAUCCAAAUUUAGACCUGUAUCAAGUGCAAAUAUUGUGUCCCAUUCCCCCCCCCCCCCAACUGUUCCCCUCUGUGGUUGUAUCAAGCUGCACUCAGGGAAGCAAUUUAUUAAUUAUUAAGAUUUUCAUUGUCAAAAUAAUAGGUUGAAGAUUCAUUGAAAUCUUUGAGUGACAGAAGAAAGUGGAAAUAUUGUUGGUACAAAAAAAUGAACAGUGAUUUUGAA